UGUGAGAAAUAAAAUAAUUAAAAUUAAGCUGCUAACUUAAUUUUUAGUGGUUAAAUUCCAUUA
RNAcentral lists this transfer RNA (63 nucleotides) under Acleris fimbriana (yellow tortrix). RNAcentral describes it as "tRNA-Ser". The record is from RNAcentral. Lineage: Eukaryota; Metazoa; Arthropoda; Insecta; Lepidoptera; Tortricidae.